GUCGAGCUUGGUAACGCUAGCUUGUGACUCGAGUGAGGGCAUUAAGGUGGUGGAACAUUGCUUUGGCUGCGCUCGGUUGGGCUGUUUGCUGCUGUAUGCUGGCUUGCCCAUUUCAAGUUGGGAGCUGGCCAAUGGGUCUUAUGCGAAAGCGUGGGUCUCCUUGGUCCUAAACUGAAGGGUAAUGCGUGAGGCUGGUUUCACAGAGCAGCGAAUACUUUCGGUUCCUGUCAGUGGAGGGAGGGAUAACAAGCUGCUUAUGCGUUCAGCCCACACAUAAACUGAGUGUGCCUAGCAUAUGAACCACCACUUUU
Molecule: signal recognition particle RNA, 311 nt
Filed under: Vigna radiata var. radiata (mung bean)
Lineage: Eukaryota; Viridiplantae; Streptophyta; Magnoliopsida; Fabales; Fabaceae
Description: SRP RNA Plant_SRP
Rfam family: Plant signal recognition particle RNA
Source: Rfam by way of RNAcentral